This 579-nucleotide ribosomal RNA is filed under the name uncultured bacterium. RNAcentral describes it as "bacterial SSU rRNA". It matches the Rfam family "Bacterial small subunit ribosomal RNA", at positions 28 to 699 of the family's 1533-position model. The record is from RNAcentral.
AGUGAACGCUGGCGGUAGGCCUAACACAUGCAAGUCGAACGAGUGGCGGACGGGUGAGGAAUACAUCGGAAUCUACUCUUUCGUGGGGGAUAACGUAGGGAAACUUACGCUAAUACCGCAUACGAAUGAAUGAGCCGAUGCCCGAUUAGCUAGUUGGCGGGGUAAGAGCCCACCAAGGCGACGAUCGGUAGCUGGUCUGAGAGGAUGAUCAGCCACACUGGAACUGAGACACGGUCCAGACUCCUACGGGAGGCAGCAGUGGGGAAUAUUGGACAAUGGGCGCAAGCCUGAUCCAGCCAUACCGCGUGGGUGAAGAAGGCCUUCGGGUUGUAAAGCCCUUUUGUUGGGAAAGCGGUACCCAAAGAAUAAGCACCGGCUAACUUCGUGCCAGCAGCCGCGGUAAUACGAAGGGUGCAAGCGUUACUCGGAAUUACUGGGCGUAAAGCGUGCGUAGGUGGUUGUUUAAGUCUGUCGUGAAAGCCCUGGGCUCAACCUGGGAAUUGCGAUGGAAGCUGGGCGACUAGAGUGUGGCAGAGGAUAGUGGAAUUCCUGGUGUAGCAGUGAAAUGCGUAGAGAUCA